Molecule: ribosomal RNA, 254 nt
Filed under: uncultured Actinomycetales bacterium
Lineage: Bacteria; Bacillati; Actinomycetota; Actinomycetes; Actinomycetales
Description: partial 16S ribosomal RNA
Rfam family: Bacterial small subunit ribosomal RNA
Source: RNAcentral
UUUGUGGGGUGCUCGAGUGGCGAACGGGUGAGUAACACGUGAGUAACCUGCCCUUGACUUUGGGAUAACUUCAGGAAACUGGGGCUAAUACCGGAUAGGAGCUCCUGCUGCAUGGUGGGGGUUGGAAAGUUUCGGCGGUUGGGGAUGGACUCGCGGCUUAUCAGCUUGUUGGUGGGGUAGUGGUUUACCAAGGCUUUGACGGGUAGCCGGCCUGAGAGGGUGACCGGCCACAUUGGGACUGAGAUACGGCCCAG